Molecule: ribosomal RNA, 791 nt
Filed under: uncultured Staphylococcus sp.
Lineage: Bacteria; Bacillati; Bacillota; Bacilli; Caryophanales; Staphylococcaceae
Description: bacterial SSU rRNA
Rfam family: Bacterial small subunit ribosomal RNA
Source: RNAcentral
UAUAAGACUGGGGAUAACUUCGGGGAAACCGGGGCUAAUGCCGGAUAAUAUUUAGAACCGCAUGGUUCUAAAGUGAAAGAUGGUUUUGCUAUCACUUAUAGAUGGACCCGCGCCGUAUUAGCUAGUUGGUGGGGUAAUGGCUUACCAAGGCAACGAUACGUAGCCGACCUGAGAGGGUGAUCGGCCACACUGGAACUGAGACACGGUCCAGACUCCUACGGGAGGCAGCAGUAGGGAAUCUUCCGCAAUGGGCGAAAGCCUGACGGAGCAACGCCGCGUGAGUGAUGAAGGUCUUCGGAUCGUAAAACUCUGUUAUUAGGGAAGAACAAAUGUGUAAGUAACUGUGCACGUCUUGACGGUACCUAAUCAGAAAGCCACGGCUAACUACGUGCCAGCAGCCGCGGUAAUACGUAGGUGGCAAGCGUUAUCCGGAAUUAUUGGGCGUAAAGCGCGCGUAGGCGGUUUCUUAAGUCUGAUGUGAAAGCCCACGGCUCAACCGUGGAGGGUCAUUGGAAACUGGGAAACUUGGGUGCAGAAGAGGAAAGUGGAACUCCAUGUGUAGCGGUGAAAUGCGCAGAGAUAUGGAGGAACACCAGUGGCGAAGGCGACUUUCUGGUCUGUAACUGACGCUGAUGUGCGAAAGCGUGGGGAUCAAACAGGAUUAGAUACCCUGGUAGUCCACGCCGUAAACGAUGAGUGCUAAGUGUUAGGGGGUUUCCGCCCCUUAGUGCUGCAGCUAAGGCAUUAAGCACUCCGCCUGGGGAGUACGACCGCAAGGUUGAAACUCAAAG